RNAcentral lists this ribosomal RNA (246 nucleotides) under uncultured bacterium. Its description in RNAcentral is "partial 16S ribosomal RNA". It matches the Rfam family "Bacterial small subunit ribosomal RNA", at positions 15 to 251 of the family's 1533-position model. The record is from RNAcentral.
GAUCCUGGCUCAGGAUGAACGCUAGCUACAGGCUUAACACAUGCAAGUCGAGGGGCAGCAUUUUAGUUUGCUUGCAAACUGAAGAUGGCGACCGGCGCACGGGUGAGUAACACGUAUCCAACCUGCCGAUAACUCCGGAAUAGCCUUUCGAAAGAAAGAUUAAUACCGGAUAGCAUACGAAUAUCGCAUGAUAUUUUUAUUAAAGAAUUUCGGUUAUCGAUGGGGAUGCGUUCCAUUAGUUNUUGG